GCUUACGGCCAUUCCACCUGAACACGCCCGAUCUCGUCCGAUCUCGGAAGCUAAGCAGGGUCGGGCCUGGUUAGUACUUGGAUGGGAGACCGCCUGGGAAUACCAGGUGCUGUAAGCU
This 118-nucleotide ribosomal RNA is filed under the name Labrus bergylta (ballan wrasse). Lineage: Eukaryota; Metazoa; Chordata; Actinopteri; Labriformes; Labridae. The record is from RNAcentral.